UGCGUAGGCGGAUUCUUAAGUGGGAUGUGAAAUACCCGGGCUCAACUUGGGUGCUGCAUUCCAAACUGGGAAUCUAGAGUGUGGGAGAGGAAAGUGGAAUUCCUAGUGUAGCGGUGAAAUGCGUAGAGAUUAGGAAGAACACCAGUGGCGAAGGCGACUUUCUGGACCAUAACUGACGCUGAGGCACGAAAGCGUGGGGAGCAAACA
RNAcentral lists this ribosomal RNA (207 nucleotides) under uncultured bacterium. RNAcentral describes it as "partial 16S ribosomal RNA". It matches the Rfam family "Bacterial small subunit ribosomal RNA", at positions 568 to 774 of the family's 1533-position model. The record is from RNAcentral.